This 224-nucleotide non-coding RNA is filed under the name Marininema halotolerans. Its description in RNAcentral is "T-box sequence". It matches the Rfam family "T-box leader". From Rfam's summary of the family: Uncharged tRNA acts as the effector for transcription antitermination of genes in the T-box leader family. T-boxes are found upstream of many aminoacyl-tRNA synthetase genes and some amino acid biosynthetic genes usually in Gram-positive bacteria. Lineage: Bacteria; Bacillati; Bacillota; Bacilli; Caryophanales; Thermoactinomycetaceae. The record is from RNAcentral.
GGAUUAGCGAAGAUCAGGUAACAGUAGUUAAUGGAGAGUGUCUGAAGAGAGCUGGUGGUUGGUGCAAACCAGUGAACUCCCAUCUAACGAAAUACAGCCUGUGAGCUCCGUUUAUCUCAAUGGGAUAGAUGGCGGGAACCCUUUCCCGUUAUGCUGAGAAGUGGGAGGCAUGAAGCCUUCAACAAGGGUGGUACCGCGGGUAAUCGAUAAACCCCGUCCCUUAU